Molecule: long non-coding RNA, 100 nt
Organism: Thalassophryne amazonica
Lineage: Eukaryota; Metazoa; Chordata; Actinopteri; Batrachoidiformes; Batrachoididae
Exons: 3
Source: RefSeq, a predicted model, not a curated record
CUUUUGACAUGCGUUGUUCAUUUCUGUCUUGAUGAUUGUUUUGACUUCAGGUUUACUAAGUGGAAUGUUGAUCUGUAUUUCUCAGGAACAGAAUCAACUU